UGAGGAAUAUUGGUCAAUGGACGCAAGUCUGAACCAGCCAUGCCGCGUGCAGGAUGAAUGCCCUCUGGGUUGUAAACUGCUUUUAUCAGGGAAUAAACCUUUCUACGUGUAGAAAGCUGAAGGUACUUGAUGAAUAAGCACCGGCUAACUCCGUGCCAGCAGCCGCGGUAAUACGGAGGGUGCAAGCGUUAUCCGGAAUCAUUGGGUUUAAAGGGUCCGCAGGCGGAUUUAUAAGUCAGUGGUGAAAUCUCUCGGCUCAACCGAGAAACUGCCAUUGAUACUGUAAGUCUUGAAUUCGGUCGAAGUGGGCGGAAUAUGACAUGUAGCGGUGAAAUGCAUAGAUAUGUCAUAGAACACCGAUAGCGAAGGCAGCUCACUAGGCCUGGAUUGACGCUCAGGGACGAAAGCGUGGGGAGCAAACA
Molecule: ribosomal RNA, 422 nt
Filed under: uncultured Bacteroidota bacterium
Lineage: Bacteria; Pseudomonadati; Bacteroidota
Description: bacterial SSU rRNA
Rfam family: Bacterial small subunit ribosomal RNA
Source: RNAcentral